GGACAUGAAGGAUAUCUGGUUUCAACAUCUUGUCACUGCAUUGAUCACCAGGGUUGAUUAAGCUGAUCUGGCUGGCUAGGUGGGUGUCCCCUUCCUUCCUCACUGCUCCAUGUGCAUCUCUCCCAGAGCUGUUUGCUCUGAGGAAGAGGAUGACCAUCUCAGAUAGAGAUGGUCAUCAUUCAUGGGGGUUCAGUCACUCCCCUGCUAGAACCUCCAAACAAGCUCCCAAGAAAUAUGAAAGGUGGCUGGCUGGCAGAGUAGCUCAAGU
Molecule: small nuclear RNA, 268 nt
Filed under: Castor canadensis (American beaver)
Lineage: Eukaryota; Metazoa; Chordata; Mammalia; Rodentia; Castoridae
Description: 7SK RNA (ENSCCNG00000013675.1)
Rfam family: 7SK RNA
About the family: 7SK was discovered as an abundant small nuclear RNA in the mid-70s but a possible function has only recently been suggested.
Source: RNAcentral